UCGAGGAUCUUCGGCAAUGGGCGCAAGCCUGACCGAGCGACGCCGCGUGUGCGAUGAAGGCCUUCGGGUUGUAAAGCACUGUCGAGGGGGAGAAAAGCCGAAAGGUUUGAUCUAUCCCUGGAGGAAGCACGGGCUAAGUUCGUGCCAGCAGCCGCGGUAAGACGAACCGUGCGAACGUUGUUCGGAAUCACUGGGCUUAAAGGGCGCGUAGGCGGCUCAUCAAGUCCGGGGUGAAAGCCCCCAGCUCAACUGGGGAAGUGCCUUGGAAACUGGUGAGCUCGAGGGAGGUAGGGGUCGAGGGAACUUCUGGUGGAGCGGUGAAAUGCGUUGAUAUCAGAAGGAACGCCGGUGGCGAAAGCGCUCGACUGGAUCUCUUCUGACGCUGAGGCGCGAAAGCUAGGGGAGCAAACGGGAUUAGAUACCCCCGUAGUCC
RNAcentral lists this ribosomal RNA (433 nucleotides) under uncultured bacterium. Its description in RNAcentral is "bacterial SSU rRNA". It matches the Rfam family "Bacterial small subunit ribosomal RNA", at positions 355 to 796 of the family's 1533-position model. The record is from RNAcentral.